GAGGGCUUUAAUAUUUAAAGGGGAAAAGUGGGGUGGAGGAGUAAGAGAGAGGGUAUGGGUAUUUAUAUAUUGUAAGGGAAAAGGAGUAGGUAGGGGAAUAAUUAAUUAUGUAUUUGUUUUAUGUUUAGUAAGUUGGUAAUUUAUUAUUAGAUAAGGUGAAUAUAUUUGUGGAGAUAGUUAAUUUUUUAUUUGUUUAGGAAUAAAAGGAAGGGUAGUUUUUU
This 221-nucleotide unclassified non-coding RNA is filed under the name Hevea brasiliensis (rubber tree). Lineage: Eukaryota; Viridiplantae; Streptophyta; Magnoliopsida; Malpighiales; Euphorbiaceae. The record is from RNAcentral.